Molecule: ribosomal RNA, 253 nt
Filed under: uncultured bacterium
Lineage: Bacteria
Description: partial 16S ribosomal RNA
Rfam family: Bacterial small subunit ribosomal RNA
Source: RNAcentral
UACGUAGGGUGCGAGCGUUGUCCGGAAUUACUGGGCGUAAAGAGCUCGUAGGUGGUUUGUCGCGUUGUCCGUGAAAACUCACAACUCAAUUGUGGGCGUGCGGGCGAUACGGGCAGACUGGAGUACUGCAGGGGAGACUGGAAUUCCAGGUGUAGCGGUGAAAUGCGUAGAUAUCUGGAGGAACACCGGUGGCGAAGGCGGCAUCCUGGACCGGUAUUGACACUGAAAAGCGAAAGCCAGGGGAGCAAACGGG